AGUUCAAGCACAUCAUAGCCCCUAUAAAUCGUCGUAAAAAGAUCAAUAAAUAAAAAUUAGCUACCUGAUCGACCGGAUCUGAGGAUCGAUUCACAGGAGAUGGAGGAGAGGAGAUGGCCGCUGCGAAAGAGGAGGAGGCGGCCGCUACGGCGGAGGAGGCGGAGAAUGCUGCGUCGCUGGCGGCGGUCGCUGCGGCGUCGGUGGCGG
RNAcentral lists this unclassified non-coding RNA (207 nucleotides) under Hevea brasiliensis (rubber tree). Lineage: Eukaryota; Viridiplantae; Streptophyta; Magnoliopsida; Malpighiales; Euphorbiaceae. The record is from RNAcentral.